Molecule: ribosomal RNA, 463 nt
Filed under: uncultured bacterium
Lineage: Bacteria
Description: partial 16S ribosomal RNA
Rfam family: Bacterial small subunit ribosomal RNA
Source: RNAcentral
GAUGAACGCUGACAGAAUGCUUAACACAUGCGAGUCGAUGGGGAAGUGGUGCUUGCACCAUGGCAACCAUGGCGGACGGGUGAGUAACGCGUAAGGGACUUACCUGCAGGACUGGGAUAACAGGGGGAAACUCCUGACAAGACCGGAUAAUGUCAUGGAGCUGCAUGGCUUUAUGAUGAAAGGAGACGCCUGCGGAGAGCCUUGCGUCCUAUUAGCUAGUUGGUGAGGUAAUGGCUCACCACGGCGAAGAUAGGUAGCCGGCCUGAGAGGGUGGACGGCCACGAGGGGACUGAGAUACGGCCCUGACUCCUACGGGAGGCAGCAGUGGGGAAUAUUGGACAAUGGGGGCAACCCUGAUCCAGCAAUUCUGUGUGCACGAAGAAGGUUUUCGGAUUGUAAAGUGCUUUCAGCAGGGAAGAAGUAAGUGACGGUACCUGCAGAAGAAGCGACGGCUAAAUACGUG